GACAGAGGGUGCAAACGUUGUUCGGAAUUACUGGGCGUAAAGCGCGUGUAGGCGGCAGGGCAUGUCGGAUGUGAAAUCCCGUGGCUCAACCACGGAAGUGCACCCGAAACUGCCCAGCUUGAGUCUCGGAGAGGAAGGCGGAAUGCUUGGUGUAGAGGUGAAAUUCGUAGAUAUCAAGCGGAACACCGGUGGCGAAGGCGGCCUUCUGGACGAUGACUGACGCUGAGACGCGAAAGCGUGGGGAG
This 245-nucleotide ribosomal RNA is filed under the name uncultured bacterium. RNAcentral's name for it is "partial 16S ribosomal RNA". It matches the Rfam family "Bacterial small subunit ribosomal RNA", at positions 524 to 768 of the family's 1533-position model. RNAcentral also lists the same sequence under 1 other name. The record is from RNAcentral.